AUGAUGCCGGAGUGCGACUCGCAUGGAAUUGUGCCAACUUGGCAGGAGCCUCCCUCCCCACCAAGAAGGCGUCUCCGCAAGGUUGGUGACGUGGCGGAGCAGCAGGCGAGCGAACAGCCGCCGCGCCGCGCAACACGCUCCACCGCGGCAAGCACUGUUGCCGCGGGAGCAUCUCACGCUGCAACAACAACUGGAGCGAGGCCCUCCCGGACCACCGCUUCUACUCCAGCCGGAGCGGGAUCAUCUCAGACCACCGCCACUGCUCCCGCCAAGCGGCCAAGGGAAGCUACUCCUCCGCCUCCUCGCGCCGGACGUGAGCCAGACUUUGACUUCUCCGCGUUCAGCUCCGGCGAGGAAGAAGAAGAAGAGACUCUGGCCCAGAGAGCAGCAAAGAGAGCCAAGGCGCCGGUGAUUAUCAUCGAGGAUGAACCCACGGCGACAGAAGGGGAUGCACCCGAGACAAUCUUGCCGGACCCGGCAACUUUUCUCCAGAGCAGCCCCCAGCGAGCCGAGUAG
RNAcentral lists this ribosomal RNA (516 nucleotides) under Triticum aestivum (bread wheat). RNAcentral's name for it is "partial small subunit ribosomal RNA". Lineage: Eukaryota; Viridiplantae; Streptophyta; Magnoliopsida; Poales; Poaceae. The record is from RNAcentral.